Molecule: long non-coding RNA, 309 nt
Filed under: Ursus maritimus (polar bear)
Lineage: Eukaryota; Metazoa; Chordata; Mammalia; Carnivora; Ursidae
Description: lncRNA (ENSUMAG00000011417.1)
Source: RNAcentral
UUCACCCAGAUUUUAUUUACUCUCUCCUUUGUUCCUGUUCUCCUCAGGCCACCAGUGAAAAGACUGUAGGGUCACAUAGCUCAUACCAUUUCAAGGAUUCGUUGUCUAACUGGAGAUUGGCGGCACAUCCCUGGACCCACAGUUCAGGAUUAGAGAAUUUCCAGCUGCACAGAAUGUCCUUGGAAGGCUGACCCAGACCAUCUUGAGGAGGGACAUGAUUCAUCUCCAGGAGCUGCUGGUCCACAGAGGUGGCCUGUUUCCUAUGUUAGAAGGAGCCGCUCAGCACCCAGGGAAAAGAGAGAGGGGUGA